UGUAUUAUAAUAUUUUUUUUAAACUUUAAAUUUAAUUUCAAGGUCUUCUAUUAUCCUCAAUGUAAUUUUUGUCACCUCUUUCAUAUACCAUCAUCUCUUUUUUAAAGGUAUAUUUAGCUCUUGAUAAUAUAUCUACUAUCAAGUUUUUUUUUAUCAAUAAUAUGUAUAAAAAUAAGAUUCAACAUUCUUAUGUAGGCUAUCCAUCUUAGCAUAGUAAUAUUUGAAAUAGUACAAUUAAUUAUCAUUCAAAGUAAUG
This 256-nucleotide long non-coding RNA is filed under the name Physcomitrium patens. RNAcentral's name for it is "long non-coding RNA (PPAT_LNC000974)". The record is from RNAcentral. Lineage: Eukaryota; Viridiplantae; Streptophyta; Bryopsida; Funariales; Funariaceae.